AUUGAACGCUGGCGGCCUGCCCUACACAUGCAAGUCGAACGGCAGCACGGGAGCAAUCCUGGUGGCGAGUGGCGAACGGGUGAGUAAUAUAUUGGAACGUGCCCCGCCGUGGGGGAUAACGCAGCGAAAGCUGUGCUAAUACCGCAUACGAUCUAAGGAUGAAAGCGGGGGAACGCAAGACCUCGCGCGAUUGGAGCGGCCGAUAUCAGAUUAGCUAGUUGGGGGGGUAAAGGCCCACCAAGGCGACGAUCUGUAGCUGGUCUGAGAGGACGAUCAGCCACACUGGAACUGAGACACGGUCCAGACUCCUACGGGAGGCAGAAGUGGGGAAUUUUGGACAAUGGGCGCAAGCCUGAUCCAGCAAUGCCGCGUGCAGGAUGAAGGCCUUCGGGUUGUAAACUGCUUUUGUACGGAACGAAACGGCCCUUUCUAAUACAGGGGGCUAAUGACGGUACCGUAAGAAUAAGCACCGGCUAACUACGUGCCAGCAGCCGCGGUAA
Molecule: ribosomal RNA, 500 nt
Filed under: uncultured bacterium
Lineage: Bacteria
Description: partial 16S ribosomal RNA
Rfam family: Bacterial small subunit ribosomal RNA
Source: RNAcentral